AGUCCUGCUCACUCAGCUCUCCCAGUGUGCUCACUCAGGUUCAGAAGAGGAGGGUGGAUGAGGAGGGGGGUGACCCUGUUCACCUGCAACAGAGGUUGGACACUGCUGGAUGGAGAGCCUGACCCUGCUUGUUUGUAUGGUGGGUCCUGCUGAGGGCAGCGAGACCUCUGCUGACUCCCAGCCGUCUCUGGCAUCCUGCACCUCGCUUUCUGUCCAGGGAUGCUGUGACUUGGCCAAGCUCAACCUUGGAGUCGUUCCCCGGAGGAGCUUUUCCAGCAUCUUCCCCAAGCGUGUUUGCCACCUUCCAUCCUCUGGUCCUGCUGCAGACUGAAGCAAAGGUUAUCUACUGCAGUUAAUGGUUAAGCAAUUUUUCAUAGUCACAUGGACUACUCGAGUACCGAACCAACAACCCCCCUUCCACACACUCUGAAAUGCCUGAGGACAAGCUCUGAGAAACAUGAGCGGAUGGAAAGUCUUAUCAUAUGGCUGUAGGCAGUAAUCCUCCUUAUUUUCCACACAACAAAGGGGCUGAUCCUGCUCGUGCUGAACACGUGCCAAAUUCCAGAGACGAGUGGCAGGAGUCAGAGUUGCUCAGCACCUUCCAGGAUUAGAGCCUUUGGGACAAGUUCUGGGUUAGUUUGGAUGGAUCCUGUGUGGUGCUGAGAGCUUCCUGGGAGGACCAGACCAAGUGUCCCUUGGCCAUAGGCACAUUUCAGCAGCAGGGGAGCAGCUGGAGCUCUUUAGAAUCAGACAUCAGAUGGAGCAGUCUUCUGCUUUGCCACGGCCUCCUCCAUCCAGAUGGAUGUUCUCCAGGGACAGUUCAGUCUGAAUGAAAGCUCAGAAGAAAAGCAAGGCGUGGGCCUGGUGCACUCAGCACAUCUUUCACCAAAGCUGGUGAUGUUCCUCCAGGAACCAUGGAGAGUCCACCUGCAGCCUACAUCAUCACAGGGCUCACUGAGAUGCUGCACGCUCUCUCCCGUGGCAGUUUGGAAGACAACCAGCCCCUGAUUGCCUGAUGUCACAGCGACCAGCAGAGCAAUUGGCAGAGACUUGGUUUGUACUUUCUCAGCUCCUUCUCGAUUUCUUUGAGGAAUCUGCUGUCCCGACAGCCACAGAAAACCAGUCAUGCAGGUGACCCAUCUCCAGCACCGCACUGACAACAUGUGCCCUUCCCCCAGGAGUCAGCUCCUGUGGGCCAUGAGCUGGGAUAAGAUCCACAGAAGCCUUUUGGCUCUGAACACCCACAUAGGGCAUAGCGCUCCGCAGUGGGCUGUCCCAUGGAUGAACCCACUUCAUGGCUUGGGAGAGCCAAGUGAGGGGCUACAGACAGGAAUGCAGCCAGGUAUCUGGGGAUAAAGCACAGGCACUCAAGGCCAUGUGAGACGCUCAGCAGGACAGAAAAAUCCAUGGGACAAGGGGUUGCAGGACGAUCCAGGGAUGCUCCAGGUAGCUAAAACCUGUCUGAAAUCCCAGCCCUCUGUACCAUUAUCAGUGCUGCUAUUCCUGCCUGGUGAUUUGGUGGAAAGAAACCCCCACGAUUCAAGUUCAAUAAAAAAGAUGAUCAGUAAGUUCCCUGCAACUUUGCAAUCCACUGGAAGGAUUUAUUUACCUCAUCAAGAACAGAGAAGCUAAAGGUAGAGCCCCAGCCACCCUCCCUCAGCUGCUCAUCUUGCCUGACACGACACAGCUGGAAAUUAUUUGGUUCAAACCUCCUCACCUUUAGCUCCUCUGACAGCAGGAAGAACACAAAAGGCAUCUCCAAAGGCUGAUUUGUCUGUGCUAUUCUUAGCCACCUGCCCUGGGAUAAGAUGAAUCAGCUUCUCUGCUGCAUGUUUCCUCUCAGAGGCACGACGCGAGCCUUGGGUGACGCAGGCUCAGACUUGAUAACAUGGAGCUUCAAAUUGAACCUAAUUCAAACUACAAACUCUCACACAGGGACUUCCACAGGGCCAGAAGAAACGCUGGUGUAACAUAAACUGCUUCUCCCGUGUGACUUUGACUCUCUCCUCUGAAAUUGUCUCCUCUGCAUUCAGUGAUUGAAAGGCCCAAAGUAAGUAGUGUAAAUUAGUUUAAAUCAAGGUGAAUAGUGACUUUUAAUUAUUCUAUCUUUAUUCUCCCCCAGUCCUGAGCCCUGGUGCCCUAAUGGCUUUCAGUCUCUGUGUGUAUGCACCUUGAGUUUAAUGCUUAAGGUUUCUGACUACCCCUAAAUCUUAUUUCUAAUACCUUUACACAAGUGCAGAGUUGGUUGAAAUCACCCAAAAAAUGUUAUUUUGGGGGUUGGGUGGGGACUAUGUGUUUCAAAUAUGACUGUAGAGAUCUGUCACUGUGUAGCUAGAAAUUAAGUCGUUUAAAAAGACAUUGAAUAAUAAUUUUAAGUGACGGAGAAGUUGGUUUAAAGGAGUUGGGGAAUGGAACCUGAAUGUAAAGGGAGUGAAAAACUUCAUGAGCCUUAAAAAAACCCACCAAACAGGAGCAAAAAGCAAACAGACAGACCACGGUUUCUCCAAAAAAGGAGAAAAGAACCAAUCCAGAGGUUUGGUCACAGCCUGCAAAAAGUUGGAUAUUAAAAUUAAACCAAUAGAAGCUGGAAAACUUGCUCUGAGGACAAAGAAUGGCCCAGUUCUCCCUUGUGGUUACUCCAAGCAGCAGCAGAAUGUCCAAGCAUGUAAGGGCUAAGCUGCCAGGCAUGCCCAGUGCUCCCACAGCGCUGGGGAUACAGUCCCCCUCCUUGGGUGGCGAAUGCACAGUGAGCACUGAGCACCUGUAAAGCACAAAGAAAACAAGAUACCACUGAGCUGAGCUCCACACACACUGUCACUGUGGCUCAGAGCUCAGCAGGCAAGUCUGGGGGGCCAAAUACUUGCCUUUGUGCAGCCAAGCAGGGGGUUCCCAGCAGCUUUGGUGCAGACACAAACCCAACCACCAUAUGGGCAGGAGCAGGGAGAGCCCAUGGCCAUGGCUUUGCUCAGUUCUGGUGUGUGCAACACCAGUGCCAGGGAGCAGGGAGAGCCCAUGGCUGUGGCUUUGCUUGGUUCUGGUGUGUGCAACACCAGUGCCAGGGAGCAGGGUGAGCCCAUGGCUGUGGCUUUGCUUGGUUCUGGUGUGUGCAACACCAGUGCCAGGGAGCAGGGUGAGCCCAUGGCUGUGGCUUUGCUUGGUUUUGGUGUGUACAACACCAGGGCCAGGGAGCAGAGAGAGCCCAUGGCCAUGGCUUUGCUCAGUUCUGGUGUGUACAACACCAGGGCCAGGGAGCAGG
Long non-coding RNA from Colius striatus (speckled mousebird), 3256 nucleotides. RefSeq lists it as uncharacterized. The transcript is spliced from 10 exons. NCBI's taxonomy places the organism in Eukaryota, Metazoa, Chordata, Aves, Coliiformes, Coliidae. The record is from RefSeq and is a predicted model, not a curated record.